Salvia hispanica is the source of this 4983-nucleotide long non-coding RNA. RefSeq lists it as uncharacterized. NCBI's taxonomy places the organism in Eukaryota, Viridiplantae, Streptophyta, Magnoliopsida, Lamiales, Lamiaceae. The record is from RefSeq and is a predicted model, not a curated record.
AAGCGGAAUAAUCAAACCUGGUACGUACUCGUUAGAUAUUUUCUUCUCUCUCCAUAUUUUUCUGGAUGGCAGCUGCUAAGCAAUCUGCAAAGUGCAAACUCACCAUUUUCCUUAAUCUAUCUCUAUCUUUGGAGGAGUGUCUUCUAUUCUACGCAUCGUCGUCGUCUGUAAUAGUACUUCACUUUUGCUCGCGCGGCCGGGUUGAAAAAUCUCGAAUAAGAAGGAAACUGGGGAUCUGUGGUGACACAAGUUAAGGCCUUGAAGGCUCACAUAGGUUCAUAUCUUCUGGGUGGAUUUUUCUACACUCAAGGUAUGUGCUGCUGCUAUAUUUGCAUUAGGACUAACCGACUAAGCAAAAAUCUCAAUGGAAAGCUUGUGAUUUAAGACAUUUGAUUUUCUAAUAACUUGCCUAGCUUCUGGGAAGCCUUUUCUACACUCAUGGUAUGUGCUACUGCUGUAUUUCCAUUUUGACAAAUUUCCUGCUUUGAUGCUUGCAGUAGGACCAGUAGAUUUCUUCUCAUAUACCUAUUUUUUUCAUCUGUGAAAUCAUCAACUAUGGGGUGCGGUUGUGCGGAUGAGCAGUAACACUUCAACUCAGUUCUUUAGGGUACUAUCAAUAAUAUACAAAAACCAACCAUGACUUUACUGUAGAGUAAUUCUAAGCAGUUUUUUCUCUCCUCAGCAUAUAUUAUAACUUUACAUAGCUUCCUAGUAUAUCUUCUGAAAAUAGUAAAUCAUAUUCACAUAUUUCAUCAAACAGAAAUCUGAUGAAUGUGAGUCAUCUGUGAAUCCAUCCUGUCACUUUACAAUUCUUCUACCAGUGUUUGAACCUGGUUCUUCAAAGUCUGAAAUUGGGGUAAAUUUCAUUAGGAAGCUGGUAAACUUGUGUAGGGCUGCCACCAACUCUAAUGCAGUUGAAGCCUGUUAAAACAACCAAUAUUAUACAGAUGAUUAGUGGUUGAAGACCUCUUAUAGUACUAGUAUCUAUUAAUUAUGACUUAUCAGAAAGUAGAAUUACCCCAAGUUCACAUCUGGCUUCUUCUUAUUCUGACUUUGUGAUUGACUGAGCUCGAGGUUUAUGGGUGCAUUCACACCAUAUUCUUUACGAACACCAUGUGUGAUGUGGUUGACCCCAUUCAAUGCACUUAUUCUCUCUGGGCCAUAGACCUGUUCCAUAUGUGGGUUUAGUUCAGAAGAUAUGGUCCCCUUAUCUGCCCUGAUUUAUUCUUAUAUUCAACGCAACACCUAACCGACAAAUACCUUUUUCUGUAACUCUGCAUUCUCUUGACUUACAACAUGUACCUUCUUGCUUAGUUCUAUGUUUUCUUGUUGAAUGAGGUUUCCCUGCGAUAAGAGUGAUGAGGCUAUCCACUCACCUUUAAUUCUUUAUAAGAACAUGAUAAAGUUGGAGUUAUAUGGACUUCUCACAGGAAUACCUUCAUGUUUAACUCUUUGAUCUCCUCACUCAGAAUUUGUUCCUAUGAGAGUAAAAUAUUAGACCUUUUGUUAGCGGGAGAUCUGUAGGUAAGUAGCUGUUUAAAAUGAACAGAAAAAAGGUGUUUACCUUCUUGAUUCGCACUCCUUUCAAACUCUUCUCGAGCUGAUUUUCCAGAUUUUGGAGGUCAUUGAUGCUCAAUCCUGAAAGCUCUUCUCCUAAAAGCUGCCUUUACUUAUCAAGAAAAGGGCAUGUGGUAUAUUCUUAGUUUAUCAUCUCACUCUUAAGAUAUUUUUACUCUAUACUGAUAACUUAAAUCUCAUUGGCCAAAUGCUGUCUAACACAUCAAUGUUUGAAUGUUUUUGGUCGUACUCUCGAAAUUCCGUUAUUCUUUACUUGAUGUGCAGUGAAAAUAUGCAUUUGGUUCCUUAAUUUCUAAGACAAGUACUAUAACUGAGAUUAAUGAGAAGAAAUAGUAACCUCGAAGCCUUUAAGCAUUUUAAGGUGAUCUACAAUGUGUUCUUUGAAUUGACUAUUUGUGUAUAUCUGGUAUUUGAUUGACUAUCAUAAACAAUUCUAACUUUACUCAACACCUCCUCUCCAUUCUCCAAACAAAAUGAAGAAGAAGAAAAUAAUGACAUAAUGAAUUCACAUUUCAAUAUGAGAUGAAAAUGUGAUAAUUGCAAUAUAGGUGCCAUCUUGUUUAUAUAUGCUUUCUUUAUCUCCCAAUAACUGUCUCCUGCCUUUUGAAAAACACACACCAAGAAAAUGGACAAUUUUUCUCUUAGAACUCUAAUUAUUACAUUGAUGUUCUUAAAUUAUAGUCUCUACUUUUAACCCAUGGAAACUUUUUUGUCCAAACAUAAGUACAAUAUAGCCUUUGCUUAUGUCCAUUGUUUACUUAAUAGCUCAAGUCAAAAGUUUUGUCUAACUUACGCUGACGUGUCUUCAAGAAACAUGAAAAAGAGCAACUAGUGGAACGUCUACAACCUGUAAUACUCUUUUAAUAUGCUGAAAACAACGAAAACUCUCUUAAAUUACCCAAAAUUUGUGACUCAGUUUAAUAAGUGAAUAACAUAGAGAAAUAAGUAUGUUCUAUACUUGUAAUAUUUUUAAUUUUGUGCUAAAAAGUCAGCAUGAUAACCAUAUUUAGUCUAUAAUUUAAGAAUGUGACUUAUUACCUUGAAAAUUGAAAAAAAUGAACAAUUGGCAUUGAUAACCUGGGAGGAUAAUAUUUAACUAUAAAUUGUUAAUGAGACACUUUUGGGGAAUAUGCUAAUAUCACUUUUGACUUUUGUUGGUAUCUCGUAUCUCAUUGCAUAUUGCAAUCAAUUAUCAUUGUACUCACACAGAAAAAAGAAACUCGUCAGAUGCUACCACAUAUAGUUAACUAACUUAUGUCAUAUCAUACUCCUUGGAGUGUUCAUUAUGGUAUCAACAUAAACUUUAGUCAACAACUAUGUAUAACAUGUCAAAUGCAAAUUCGCAUUUACCUGUGGCAUUGUUGCAAGUACUGCAGCUGUUUCCCCAAGCUUGAUGCUUCCCUUUGCCAAAACUACAAUAAAUAAAAAAUGGAUGAUUAGUCUAAUUGGCCAUAAUCCUGCUGAUAUCAGGUCUAUGAUAAACUGCAUUAUUUGCAAAUGCUAUGUUGAACCCAAAACUCUUGAAAGGUCACGUGAAUGUGGAUUAAGUAUUACUAUCUCAUAAAAUGCUUAAUGAUAUGCUUUGCCCUAAUUUAAGUAACUAUUGCUGUGUUUUUCAAUUCAUAUAGUGAGUUCUGGACCUAGCAGGGUUCGGUUGGUGAAGCAAUUUUCACUAUGCAUAUGGUGUCCGGUCAUGUGUCUGUGCUAAGCUAUACCCUGCUAUUUGCUUCUGUUUACCAAAUGUUUAAAUUGUUAUGAGAGGUAAUAAAUAUUUAAAGUACAGGCAUACAUUUUCACAUUGUGAAUAAAUUCUAUCAAGUUUAGUCUCGUUUAUGGAAUCUUAACAGUAACUUCAAGUAAUGUUUGAUCUUAUAUCUAGGAAAUAGUUUGUUAAGGAACCUUUUAAAAACCAAAUUAUGGACAGUUGCUUUACUGAUGAAAGAAAAGAACAUCUGGAAUAAGAAUGAUUGAUGUAUCCAAUACAAAUCCUGCAGAACCCGAGUAAAAAGGAAUUGUGUGAGUUAUUCCAAAGGGUACUUGUAAGCAUGUAGCAUUAGAGUUCUAAAUAAUAUGGAGUGAGAAAUUCCCCUCUGGCUGUUCAACUAAUUUUAAGAGCAUGAUCUGUGGAGUUUUCACACCCUGAAGCUAUGACAUUUUGAGAAUUCAAGAAUUUAAGGUGGUUAAGUACCUAGGAAAUCUGACAAAGGUGUCAAUGUUUGAUCGAGGACUUAGGUUUCUGGAAGGGAAAUCAUAAAUAUUCUAAAAAGUUGGCAAUAUAGUGACUGUUUGUGUACCGGAGGGUGUAUCUUUUUACAGAAAAAUGUAUCUGCCUUUUUAAAACCUUAGCUUCUGUGGGUAAUUGGUACUUUGAUUUCUAUGUCCAAUUUUGUUUUAGGUGUAAAAUGCUCAUCUCGAUCAGUCGAUCUCCUGACCUCUUACUUCCUUAAGCAACACACUUAAGGAAUUACUCUUAGCUUCAUCUUUGUAAAAUUUAUUUACUGAAAUUUUGAUGCACUAUUUUCAAGUUACAGGAAUGUCAAUUUCUCAUAAGCCUUGAUUAACAAUAAUCUAUCACUAAUGUUUCAGAGACAUUCUUGUUGUAUCAUAUGGCAAGUUGGCUGCUUUGCUUAAAGCUGACUACAUUGAUAUCCUUCUACUCUAAAACUUGGGUUACAUGCUUUGAGUCCCUACUAUAUGUUAUUUCAAAUUCUAGUUGCUAGUAAAGGGCAAAUAGAGCCACAAGUGUUCUAUCUUCCUUGAGAUGCUGCUAAAAUUGAAUUUUUUGAAGCAACAUAAUGUGAUAGUAGCUGAAUUCAAAGAAUUUUCCCAUUGUUGCAAUAUUAAUUCAUAGCUCAAGUGAUAACUAUAUCUUUAACUAUGUCCUAUAUCCUUCAUUCUAUGAUCUUCUUUGCUUUCUUGUUCAAAGCUCUUAUGAGCUUUCAACCAAUGUAAAUCAGUUAAUGCUAUGCACCACUAGGACUCAGAAGGAUAACUUGAUGAUCCAGAUAUGGUUUGUGGAGGGAUGUUAUUCUCAUGAACUUAAGAUAUCUUGCUUAUGUGAUUCUGAUCAAAUUCUUGUUAGCUUCGAUAUGGGAUGGCGAGUGUUCACACUGGCAAGUUCAUAGGAAGGCAGUUGAUCUGUUAUUGGAUCUCUUUAAGUUGCCCAAUUUGCAAAUAAUUAGAAAUUCAGGUCCAUGAUUUUGGCUUCUAUGACAAUCUUUCCAAGAUUUUCAGUUGAAAUUGUAAGAAAAUCGAUUGCUUAAAAUUUGGCUUCAAGCACGAACUAGUACACGAUGGUAUGGCUGAACUGCCAAAAUUCUGUAUCCAUUUUUCAUAUUUUGCAGAGAGAGAAAAAGAGAUUGCAUGUAAUAUGCACAGUUGUUUCUAUGAGAUACACUUGCACAA